GAUGAAGAACGCAGCGAAAUGCGAUAAGUAAUGUGAAUUGCAGAAUUCAGUGAAUCAUCGAAUCUUUGAACGCACAUUGCGCCCGCCAGUAUUCUGGCGGGCAUGCCUGUUCGAGCGUCAUUUCAACCAUCAAGCCCCCGGCUUGUGUUGGGGACCUGCGGCUGCCGCAGGCCCUGAAAACCAGUGGCGGGCUCGCUAGUCACUCCGAGCGUAGUAAUACAUCUCGCUCAGGGCGUGCUGCGGGUUCCGGCCGUUAAAAAAGCCUUAUUUACCCAAGGUUGACCUCGGAUCAGGUAGGAGGACCCGCUGAACUUAAGCAUAUCAAUAAGCGGAGGA
This 336-nucleotide unclassified non-coding RNA is filed under the name soil metagenome. Its description in RNAcentral is "partial contains 5.8S ribosomal RNA, internal transcribed spacer 2, and large subunit ribosomal RNA". The stretch from base 1 to 120 matches the Rfam family "5.8S ribosomal RNA", at positions 35 to 154 of the family's 154-position model. The record is from RNAcentral.